Oryza sativa Japonica Group (Japanese rice) is the source of this 381-nucleotide long non-coding RNA. RefSeq lists it as uncharacterized. Lineage: Eukaryota; Viridiplantae; Streptophyta; Magnoliopsida; Poales; Poaceae. The record is from RefSeq and is a predicted model, not a curated record.
UAUAAUUCUUGUACUACAGUUGACACUGAAAGUCUAGCACACUCGAUCGAUCAGCAAUGGACGCGAGAGCUGCGACAUUUUUCUUUCUACUCCUUGUUGUAUUUCAGGGAAAUCCAUGUUCUGCUGACGAUACAUGCAUCUACACUAGUGCCCAUCUGGUAACGUGUGUGACACCGGUUUGCAAGUUCGCGUGCGUGGUGGACGCACGGGCCCAUCAUGCCAAGUACAGGAAUGGAUGGUGUAAGGGAUUUUUCAAUGGCGUUUGCACAUGCCAACUUUGCUAUGACUAAAGCGAGAGACCGCUGCCAUGUUUACAAAGAUGUAAUAAUCCUCUGAUCUGAUCAAGGGGAAAUAUAUGUAAUAUUUCAAGGAUAUUUGGAA